UACGGAGGGUGCUAGCGUUGUUCGGAAUUACUGGGCGUAAAGAGUUCGUAGGCGGUUUAUUAAGCUAGAUGUGAAAUCCCUGGGCUUAACUCAGGAACUGCAUUUAGAACUGGUAAGCUAGAGAGUGUUAGAGGUUGGUAGAAUUCCUAGUGUAGGGGUGAAAUCCGUAGAUAUUAGGAGGAAUACCGAUGGCGAAGGCAGCCAACUGGGACAUUUCUGACGCUGAGGAACGAAAGCGUGGGUAGCAAACAGG
RNAcentral lists this ribosomal RNA (253 nucleotides) under uncultured bacterium. Its description in RNAcentral is "partial 16S ribosomal RNA". It matches the Rfam family "Bacterial small subunit ribosomal RNA", at positions 524 to 776 of the family's 1533-position model. The record is from RNAcentral.